Molecule: long non-coding RNA, 682 nt
Filed under: Rattus norvegicus (Norway rat)
Lineage: Eukaryota; Metazoa; Chordata; Mammalia; Rodentia; Muridae
Description: long non-coding RNA NONRATT011397
Rfam family: Small nucleolar RNA SNORA68 (bases 267-395)
Source: RNAcentral
UGCGAAUCUUUGCACCCAACCAUGUGGUGGCCAAGUCCCGCUUCUGGUACUUUGUGUCGCAGCUGAAGAAGAUGAAGAAGUCAUCCGGGGAAAUUGUGUACUGUGGGCAGGUGUUUGAGAAGUCACCCCUGCGUGUGAAGAACUUCGGCAUCUGGCUGCGCUAUGAUUCCCGAAGUGGCACUCACAACAUGUACCGAGAGUACCGGGACCUGACCACUGCCGGCGCGGUCACACAGUGCUGUGAGUCACCAACCCUCUGUCAACCCUUGGCACCCAACCCAAGAACUGCCGCUACUAUAGCGGCUGUUUAAACAGUGGUGCACACAGCAAAGUGCUUCGUCGCCUUUGGGGGGCUGUGCAGUGCCCUCCAGAGUGAAUCAGGAGGUUCUACAGUUCUGUGGGUGUUCUGGGUGGCUGGGGCUGACUUUCUUCUCUUUCCACAGACCGAGACAUGGGUGCCCGACACCGUGCCCGUGCGCACUCCAUCCAGAUCAUGAAGGUGGAAGAGAUUGCAGCUGGCAAGUGCCGCCGGCCAGCUGUCAAGCAGUUCCACGACUCCAAGAUCAAGUUCCCAUUGCCCCACCGUGUGUUGCGGCGCCAGCACAAACCACGCUUCACCACCAAGAGGCCAAACACCUUCUUCUAGACACAGAGACCCACUGAAUAAAAGCUUCAGACUGUC